This 430-nucleotide ribosomal RNA is filed under the name uncultured Geobacter sp. RNAcentral's name for it is "bacterial SSU rRNA". It matches the Rfam family "Bacterial small subunit ribosomal RNA", at positions 355 to 776 of the family's 1533-position model. The record is from RNAcentral. Lineage: Bacteria; Pseudomonadati; Thermodesulfobacteriota; Desulfuromonadia; Geobacterales; Geobacteraceae.
UGGGGAAUUUUGCGCAAUGGGCGAAAGCCUGACGCAGCAACGCCGCGUGAGUGAUGAAGGCCUUCGGGUCGUAAAGCUCUGUCGGGAGGGAAGAAAUGGUUGUGUGCUAAUACCGCAUGAUCUUGACGGUACCUCCGAAGGAAGCACCGGCUAACUCCGUGCCAGCAGCCGCGGUAAUACGGAGGGUGCAAGCGUUGUUCGGAAUUAUUGGGCGUAAAGCGCGUGUAGGCGGUUUUUUAAGUCUGAUGUGAAAGCCCCGGGCUCAACCUGGGAAGUGCAUUGGAAACUGGGAAACUUGAGUACGGGAGAGGGUAGUGGAAUUCCUAGUGUAGGAGUGAAAUCCGUAGAUAUUAGGAGGAACACCGGUGGCGAAGGCGGCUACCUGGACCAGUACUGACGCUGAGACGCGAAAGCGUGGGGAGCAAACAGG